This 424-nucleotide ribosomal RNA is filed under the name Verrucomicrobiota bacterium. RNAcentral's name for it is "Verrucomicrobia bacterium partial 16S ribosomal RNA". It matches the Rfam family "Bacterial small subunit ribosomal RNA", at positions 355 to 776 of the family's 1533-position model. Lineage: Bacteria; Pseudomonadati; Verrucomicrobiota. The record is from RNAcentral.
UGAGGAAUAUUGGUCAAUGGACGCAAGUCUGAACCAGCCAAGUAGCGUGCAGGAUGACGGCCCUAUGGGUUGUAAACUGCUUUUAUAUGGGGAUAAAGUGGGGAACGUGUUCCCUUUUGCAGGUACCAUAUGAAUAAGGACCGGCUAAUUCCGUGCCAGCAGCCGCGGUAAUACGGAAGGUUCGGGCGUUAUCCGGAUUUAUUGGGUGUAAAGGGCGUGCAGGCGGGCUGAUAAGUCAGAUGUGAAAUCCCCGAGCUUAACUUGGGAACUGCAUCUGAUACUGUUGGUCUUGAGUGCUGGAGAGGAUAGUGGAAUUCCUAGUGUAGCGGUAAAAUGCGCAGAUAUUAGGAGGAACACCAGUGGCGAAGGCGGCUAUCUGGACAGUAACUGACGCUGAGGCGCGAAAGCGUGGGUAGCAAACAGG